GCUGGAGAUGUAGCUCAGUGGUAGAGCGCUUCCUAGUAUGCAUGAGGCCCUGGGUUCAAUCUCCAGUACAGUA
RNAcentral lists this transfer RNA (73 nucleotides) under Marmota monax (woodchuck). RNAcentral describes it as "tRNA.Thr". Lineage: Eukaryota; Metazoa; Chordata; Mammalia; Rodentia; Sciuridae. The record is from RNAcentral.